Drosophila erecta is the source of this 633-nucleotide long non-coding RNA. RefSeq lists it as uncharacterized. The transcript is spliced from 3 exons. The record is from RefSeq and is a predicted model, not a curated record. NCBI's taxonomy places the organism in Eukaryota, Metazoa, Arthropoda, Insecta, Diptera, Drosophilidae.
GCACUGGAAGCGCCAUGGGAAAGUCGGCAGCAACAACAACAGCCACGACUGGCCGCCGUGUAACAUUGUUAUUGGAAAUGUGUUGUAGGCUCCCACAGAAACAACAACGAUGGCAGCCGAGAGAGAAAGAGAGUAGGCGCAAGGGAAAGCGAACGGCAGCGUAAAGCGAAAAUUCCAUUGAGAUUUUUUAUGAAAUCGAAACGAAAUUAGUUUUCGAUGAACUUUAAAGGCGAGUAAACAGCCGCAGCGGUCCCGCUCGCAAAAUUCGCACGUGUGUCGCAAAGGAAAAAAAAUAGAAAAAUAUCCUACUACCCAUAAUAGAGGCAAAAUUACGUUUGCUGGAAAAUCGGAAUCGGAAAAGCCCUGCUAACGAAAUACGAGUGAAAAGCGCAAAAAGCCCACGAGCAACGGCCGAAACAAACAAAAUUUCAGUAGCAGUAAUUCUGUAAAUAAGCAAAUCAAAACCGAAAACAAAGAAAAAGGAAAAGAAACCCUACGCAAAUACUGGCAUAUGGAAACAUAACUUCAAAACGAGUAGCCCAAAAACUGAAAUAAAAUAAUAUAAAUACUAGAAACUCAAUAGAGCAAAGCUGACUUUUGAGGUAAUUUUGGCGGCGUUCAAGGUGUCCAAAC